GACGAACGCUGGCGGCGCGCUUAACACAUGCAAGUCGAGCGGGAACCGGGCCUUCGGGCCCGGGGACAGCGGCGAACGGGUGAGUAACACGUGGGUAAUCUGCCCUCGGUACUGGGAUAGCCCGGGGAAACCCGGAUUAAUACCGGAUAGCCCUUCGAGCCUUCGGGCUCGCCGGAAAAGGUAGCUUCGGCCUCCGACCGAGGAUGAGGCCGCGGCGGAUUAGCUUGUUGGUGGGGUAACGGCCUACCAAGGCGACGAUCCGUAGCUGGUCUGAGAGGACGAUCAGCCACACUGGGACUGAGACACGGCCCAGACUCCUACGGGAGGCAGCAGUGGGGAAUCUUGCCCAAUGGGCGAAAGCCUGAGGCAGCGACGCCGCGUGCGGGAAGAAGGCCCUCGGGUUGUAAACCGCUUUCAGGAGGGACGAAGCCACUCGGGUUAAUAGCCUAGAGGGUGACGGUACCUCCAGAAGAAGCCCCGGCUAACUACGUGCCAGCAGCCGCGGUAA
This 508-nucleotide ribosomal RNA is filed under the name uncultured bacterium. Its description in RNAcentral is "partial 16S ribosomal RNA". It matches the Rfam family "Bacterial small subunit ribosomal RNA", at positions 28 to 523 of the family's 1533-position model. The record is from RNAcentral.